Molecule: long non-coding RNA, 1048 nt
Organism: Aegilops tauschii subsp. strangulata
Lineage: Eukaryota; Viridiplantae; Streptophyta; Magnoliopsida; Poales; Poaceae
Source: RefSeq, a predicted model, not a curated record
UCGUGUCGUAUUACAAUGUACAUGCCUAGUUUAGCCAGUUUCAUGUGAUGUCUAAGUUUUCUCUUGAAAAUGUUGCUCCUUAAAUUGUGCUAGUGAAUUGGUUGAUGACGUGGCAAAUGUGCACCUAAAUUGCAUGUGUUGAGCCUUAUUGGCUUUUAUUUUGCGUGUUUGUGUUGUGUUACAAUGUCAACAUAGAGUUUAGCUAGUUUCCUAUUAUGUCUUAAGUUUUCAGUCGCGCUUCCUUUUCUCUACCAAUUAAGCAUUGUAAGAUUUAGGGCAUGGUUUCACUUAUAACUAUAUGAAACCAUAUGAGUUCCUGCGGGAAAUAACUUGGUAUAACUUUUAGGCAUGGUUUCACUUGUAAGUAGAUGAAAUCAUGUGAGUUUGUGCGGGACCACAUAUUGGACAAAUUAAAUAUUAGUCAUUUUUCCUUGGGAAACACUGUUUAUCAUACGGCUGAUAGAAAGCAAACGUCAGACUAAUUGCUUGACGUUGAUCCUGCACCAUCUCACGGCCAACAGCUCACUCAAAAAAGCAAAAAAAAAGGUCCAAGCCUCCCAAUUAACACACCCGUCUCUAUCUCUAUCCCCAAAUCUCGCCUUUCUCGAUCCUCUUUUCCUGCCAACGCCAUCAACGACGAUCCAUCUCCGCCGCCGCGCUGGUUCUCCUCCGCCACUGCCGAGCUCCCGCUCCAUGGUCGGCUUCCGACACACCGCACCGCCAGCUCGCAAUCCUCUUCGCCCACUCUGACCUCUCUGCCAAAAUUACCCAGAUAGUGACCGCUUGUUGUAUUCCCGGUGGAGGUUAUAUUUUGGUGGUACGCAGCAGCUGAAGCCCAGUUCAUGCCUAGGAAUUUAUAGUAGGGGAGAGUGAAGGCAGUCAAAAAGAAGCUAGAAAAGAUGUUGCUUGAACUGGUUAAGGCGCACUCUGAAUUGUAAUUUUCAUUACCUUGGAAACAUAUGUAAUCAGAUGGAAAUGUAACAUUUUUAUGUUUACUCGAAACGAAUCUAUGGGUUAUUUGAUUCUAGUAGAUGUGAAUACUUUUUUA